This 446-nucleotide ribosomal RNA is filed under the name uncultured bacterium. Its description in RNAcentral is "partial 16S ribosomal RNA". It matches the Rfam family "Bacterial small subunit ribosomal RNA", at positions 330 to 792 of the family's 1533-position model. The record is from RNAcentral.
UCCAGACUCCUACGGGAGGCAGCAGUGGGGGAUAUUGCACAAUGGGGGGAACCCUGAUGCAGCGACGCCGCGUGGGUGAAGGAGCGUUUCGGCGCGUAAAGCCCUCUCGGCAGGGAAGAAGGAGGACGGUACCUGACUAAGAAGCCCCGGCUAACUACGUGCCAGCAGCCGCGGUAAUACGGAGGGGGCAAGCGAUAUCCGGAUUUACUGGGUGUAAAGGGGGCGCAGACGGCAGCGCAAGCCAGGAGUGAAAGCCCGGGGCCCAACCCCGGGACUGCUCUUGGAACUGCGCGGCUGGAGUGCAGGAGGGGCAGGCGGAAUUCCUGGUGUAGCGGUGAAAUGCGUAGAUAUCAGGAGGAACACCGGUGGCGAAGGCGGCCUGCUGGACUGCGACUGACGUUGAGGCCCGAAAGCGUGGGGAGCAAACAGGAUUAGAUACCCGCGUA